GCUGCUGUAGCUCAGUCGGUAGAGCGCGUCCUUGGUAAGGACGAGGUCAUGAGUCCGAAUCUCAUCAGCAGCU
This 73-nucleotide transfer RNA is filed under the name Planctomycetia bacterium. RNAcentral's name for it is "tRNA-Thr". It matches the Rfam family "tRNA". From Rfam's summary of the family: Transfer RNA (tRNA) molecules are approximately 80 nucleotides in length. Lineage: Bacteria; Pseudomonadati; Planctomycetota; Planctomycetia. RNAcentral also lists the same sequence under 2 other names. The record is from RNAcentral.